GGGGGAUAUGAACAGGGCGGGACCUAAGUUGACCAAUCGAAGCAUACUAUAGCUUCCGGACCCUAUUGGAUUGGCUGUUGAUACCUAGCAGUGUACCUAGCAUGAUUGGUAGCUUGCUAGGACCCUCAUGAGGGUGAAGCUAGCGUGGCUAUCCAAAUGAUCAUGUUCAGUGGAUAUCCCCCCGACACUGCCAGUCCCCCUGUCCACACUUUAGAAGAGGAGGAGGGCUUCAGACAACGCACUAACCUGCCAGGAUAGCACGGUCACAGUAGGGUGGUUAACUACCUACAUUUCCCCAAAGAGUGUCCGGAGUGCCACACACACAGAAGAGGAUUUACAAUCUUCUGAUGUGGACAUCGCAUCUCAACUAUGAGAGGAGAAACAGAACAGAGCAGGAGUAACACGGUUCUGUCAGUUUCACAUCGGUUCCACCAUGAUUAGAACCGGCUGGAGUCUGGGUUCUCUCUCUUUUGCCAGUCAGACCUCGGUAGAACUCAACUCUAGUUUGGACGGUUCUGCCAGAACCUACGGUCUGAGCUGUGCGUUUUGUGAUGAUGUGUUCAGUGUGUGUGUGUGUGUGAUCGAGUUGUGUUAGACGAUAUGAGGCAUUAAUAUUCGCUCUCAGCCAUCUGUGUGUUUGGGUCUGCCAUUGUGUGUACUUGAACAGUACUACGUUGAACAGCACGAGCGGCCAUGUUUGCUUCUAAAUGUCAGCCUGUCCCAGACGAGGCUUGAACACAUAGUGGAAUGCAAUGUCUUGCAUUUAAAGAAAAGACAUCCAUGUCCUCAGUAAAGAUUGAGGUUUUAGACUGGGUUUCUGUAUAGCACUUUGUGACAUCUGCUGAUAUAAAAAAGGGCUUUAUAAAUACAUUUAAUUGAUUGAUUGAGGAGAGACUGCUGGAAACUGUUACACUGUUAACAUGUUGUUCUCUUCAGGGAAAACUUGACCUCUGCAAUUUGUCAAUGCUAUGGGUCAGCAAAUGCGAUGUCAUGUCCACACUGUAAUAUGCAUGACAUGACAUUGUCCUUUCUUGAGUCACUGAGGUGUGGUUGGCUAGUAACUAAAUGUAAAUCCAGUCUCUCACUCACUCGCUCCCACGCACGCACGCACACACACACACACACACUCAUACACACACAGUAGAGGUUGGAUCACACCGUCCUCUAUAUCUAUAGAGGAGGAGGAGGGAAGGACUACUAAAUGGAUGUAGGGAGGGGAGGAGUUGACGGAAUGUAUUAUUUAUUGUUUGAUUAGGGCCUUGUUCUACCCUAUUGUAAUCCUGUUGUUCUGGAGGGCUGACAGAAAAGUGUUUUGCAAAUUCCCUCCCUCCCUCCCUGCGUUGCAUGAUGAAUGUUGCCUUAAGCAGACAGAAGUGAGGUUUAUAAAUGCAUUGUGCCCCGAACAUUUCAAAAUCAAGUUGAGAGGGGAAGAAAAAUUACCUCAGGAAAAUAGCUAAACCUGAGCAAUAAAAAACUCUUAAUCUUACCUUGAAAGCCGCCCGACGAUAGAGGUGGGUGCCUCCCUUUGGAAAGAAAAACAGGACUGCAGAUUAUUUCCAUUUGAAAGAACAUGCCAAAUUACAGAAAUGUGUUUUCAAUCGCUCUCUUUCACAAGCGGCAACAGAUGGAUGGAGGCUGUGCGUGCCUGCAUGUGCGUGUGAGCAGAUUGUGUGUGUGUGUGUCAGCAGAUCAUGUGUGUGAGCAGAUCGUGUGUGUGUGUGUGUGUGUGUGUGUGUGUGUGUGUGUGUGUGUGUGUGUGUGUGUGUGUGUGUGUGUGUGUGUGUGUGUGUGUGUGUGUGUGUGUGUGUGUGUGUGUGUGUGUGUGUGUGUGUGUGAGAGCAGAUCAUGUGUGUGUAUGCUGCUACAUGGAACCAACCAGCAGCCCGCUGCAGCCAACGACUUCCAGUCUCUUCCACAAUCAGAUACAGAAUUAAUAAAUCGACCACAGAGUUCUCAUUCAACAACUCCAAAGACAAGGUCAAUGUAACCAGCUGUAUUGUUAGGUUUCUCAGCCAUCUUCUCUUAUUUGAAUGCCAGCUAUGAAUAUGUAACAUUGGCACUGGUUGGCUUUACUUUUCUGCUGCCUGUUUGGGAGCUUAUUGUCUCUACAAAAGCUAGCUCAGGGCAACAAUCAGUGUCAAGCAACAACGAUCUGUAUCACAUGAAUGAGAUUUAAAAAAACAGGAGACAUUUUUAGAGCUGGUCUUCAAAAAAAGCAACAGUCAGUGACCAGGAUGGUGAACCAGGUCCAGAUAUGGCACACUGACAUGCCAAACAAGAGCAUAUCCUGGAAUGACGAUGACGACAAAGAUGAGGAUGAUGAUCAUGAUGAUGACAACAAUGUUGAUGAUGUGAUGACACACUCCUGUUCCCCAGAGAGAGCGAAGUAAAAACAGCCGGACUGAGCAUCUGCUGCAGUGCAACUUUGAAUCACAUGGAAGGUGAGACCUAUCUGCUGCCUUUGAUACUGUGAACCAUCAGAUCCUCCUCUCCACCCUCUCCGAGUUGGGUAUCUCCGGCGCGGCUCACUCUUGGAUUGCGUCCUACCUGACAGGUCGCUCCUACCAGGUGGCGAAUCGCAUCUCUGCAUGUCUGGCAGACAUAUCAGUGUGGAUGACGGAUCACCACCUCAAGCUGAACCUCGGCAAGACGGAGCUGCUCUUCCUCCCGGGGAAGGACUGCCCGUUCCAUGAUCUCGCCAUCACGGUUGACAACUCCAUUGUGUCCUCCUCCCAGAGUGCUAAGAGCCUUGGCGUGACCCUGGACAACACCCUGUUGUUCUCCGCUAACAUCAAGGCGGUGACCCGAUCCUGGAGGUUCAUGCUAUACAACAUUCGCAGAGUAUGACCCUGCCUUACACAGGAAGUGGCGCAGGUCCUAAUCCAGGCACUUGUCAUCUCCCGUCUGGAUUACUGCAACUCCCUGUUGGCGGGGCUCCCUGCCUGUGCCAUUAAACCCCUACAACUCAUCCAGAACGCCGCAGCCCGUCUGGUGUUCAACCUUCCCAAGUUCUCUCACGUCACCCCGCUCCUCCGCACACUCCACUGGCUUCCAGUUGAAGCUCACAUCUGCUACAAGACCAUGGUGCUUGCCUACGGAGCUGUGAGGGGAACGGCACCUCCGUACCUUCAGGCUCUGAUCAGGCCCUACACCCAAACAAGGGCACUGCGUUCAUCCACCUCUGGCCUGCUGGCCCCCCUACCUCUGCGGAAGCACAGUUCCCGCUCAGCCCAGUCAAAACUGUUCGCUGCCCUGGCACCCCAAUGGUGGAACAACUCCCUCACGACGCCAGGACAGCGGAGUCAAUCACCACCUUCCGUAGACACCUGAAACCCCACCUCUUUAAGGAAUACCUGGGAUAGGAUAUAGUAAUCCUUCUAUAGGCAUGUGUUUGUAUUAGUGUUUUGUGGGAGAUGUUUCUGUGUAUAGCUUCAAGCCUUACAGGACUGUUAUUCGUCGUUGUUUCUUUUUGUGUACGUGUUUAUUUUUGGUUCACCUUCUUUGCCAACUAAAUAAAAAAGAAGAUGAGUGCACAUUUCCCUGCUGCGUCUUGGUCCGCUUUAUCCGACAACAACCGUUACAGAAUCUCCCACCAACCAAGGACCAAGCAGCGGGGUAAGGAGCAAGGGAACAAUUAUAUGGACUAUCAGGGGAAUUGGACAUGGGAGGAAAUUUUGGACGGGGCUGAACCUUGGCAUCAGGCUGGGGAAUACCGUCGCCCACGGGAGGAAAUAGAGGCAGCCAAGGCGGAGAGGCGUCGGUACGAGGCUUUGUAUGCGCUGAGGGAGAAGCACGAGAGGCACCCCCAAUCAUUUUUUUGGGGGGGGCACAUGGGUAGUUUGGCUAGGCCAAGGGUGAGCCCUAAGCCAGCUCCCCGUGCUUUUUGGGAAGGACGUAUGGAGUGGAGAGCGCCUAGGUAUGCGGAAGUACGCACGAUCUUGCCCAUACGCACGCACAGUCUGGUGCGAGUGAUCCCAACCCCUUGCAAAUGCCGUGCUAGAGUGGGCAUCCAGCCUGGUAGGAGGAUGCCUGCGCAGCGCAUCUGGCCACCGGUGCGCCUCCUAGGUCCAGGCUACCCUACGCCCGCUCUACGCACGGCAACCAUCAGGCCCCUGCACAGCCCAGUUCGCCCUGUACUAGCACUCCGCUCGUACAGGGCUACUAGUUCCAUCCAGCCAGGACGGGUUGUGCAGGAGGUGCGAUCGAGACCGCCAGUGCUUCUCCACGGCCCGGUAUAUCCAGUACCAGCACCAUGCACCAGGCCUCCAAUACGUCAGCCCAGUCCAACUCAGCCUGUUCCCGCUCCUCGCACUAGCCUUAAAGUGCGUGUCUCCAGUCUGGCAGCUCCACUACCAGCCCCACGCACCAGGCUUCCAGUGCGUCAGCUCAGUCUCGAGCUUCCGACAACAGUUUCCUGUCCAGAGUAUCCGGCAACAGUGUCCAGUCCAGAGUAUCAGGCAACAGCGUCCAGUCCGGAACCGAGUGAGUCUGGCUGCAGUCCGGAACCGAGUGAGUCUGCCUGCAGUCUGGAGCUAGAGUCGGUCUACAGUCCGGAGCCCCCAGAGACGCUCUGCAGCCCUGAGUAUUCUGCAGGGGUGGACAGGUUGGGUGGGGGUAGUAGACCGGAACCUGAGCCACCUCCAGUAUAGGUGGCUCCCCUCCCUUUAGUUUAGGGGGAUUUUUUUUGUUUUGGGGGGUGUCGUGUCUUUGGGGGUACCAUUAAACUGAAGAUAUGUUUAUCAAUUAGCUCCCUGUAAUUAUUAUCACGCAAUUACAUUGAUUAAUCGUUUAAUUGUAAUUAACUAGGAGAUCGGGGCACCAAGGAGAAUAUUCAGAUUACAAAGCUAUAAUUUUCCUAAUAUAACUUUCCU
This 4871-nucleotide long non-coding RNA is filed under the name Salmo salar (Atlantic salmon). RNAcentral's name for it is "lncRNA (ENSSSAG00000090929.1)". The record is from RNAcentral. Lineage: Eukaryota; Metazoa; Chordata; Actinopteri; Salmoniformes; Salmonidae.